Long non-coding RNA from Scylla paramamosain (green mud crab), 822 nucleotides. RefSeq lists it as uncharacterized. NCBI's taxonomy places the organism in Eukaryota, Metazoa, Arthropoda, Malacostraca, Decapoda, Portunidae. The record is from RefSeq and is a predicted model, not a curated record. The transcript is spliced from 3 exons.
GCACUUUUUCAAUCCCUGGGAAGGAGAGAGCGCGAGACAAGACGGGACAUCCUACAAAGCCUAACAUUUCUGCCAAUAUUACAGAAUGGACAGCUUAGGAUACCACACGGAGGGGAGUGAAGGAGCCUUGGGGAUGCCUGAAGGAGGGGCAGUGAAGGAGGGAGGCCUGGAGGUGAAGGAAAUGCAGAAAAUUCCUCUAAUACUGAGCGCUUCUCUGGUCAGACCAUCCUUCACUGAAUAUUUGGACCGAGGCUUCAAGAUACGAGUGAGCCAGGCGACCCUCCAGAACAGCGCCAUCCUGCCCACUUGUGGUGUAGCAUCCCUGAUCGUACCCCUCCUCCCUCCUCCUCCUCCUCCUCCUCCAGCAAAGAAGAGACCUUUGACCAGCUGGUGGACAGGGUCCGCGCCUUUAGCCGAGUACACGCGGGGGGCGUUGUAAUACUGGUGGGUGCUGUGUUUGGCAUGGAGGAGGUGAACGGGGUGUUGGGGAAGUUAUCAAGGCGGUUUACUACCACGCCCUCCCCUGCUACUGCCUGCCCACGGGGAAGCCCAGGCUGCCGCGCACAUACAACUACUGGCAAAGGUUAGUGGUGGUGGUGGUAGUGAUGGUGGUGGUGGUGAUGGUGGUGGUGGUGGUGGUGGUGGUGCAAGAUGAUGAUGAUGAUGAUGAUGAGAAGCAAGAGAAGGAGGAGGAAGAGAAGAAUGAGGAUAAGGAAGAGGAAGACGAGUGGGGGAGGAGUAGGAAGAGGAAGAGGAGGAGGUUUGCUUUAGUAGGAAGAGGAGGAGGAGGAGGAGGAGGAAGAAGAGGAAGAUUAGGAGGAA